Molecule: non-coding RNA, 106 nt
Filed under: Collinsella tanakaei YIT 12063
Lineage: Bacteria; Bacillati; Actinomycetota; Coriobacteriia; Coriobacteriales; Coriobacteriaceae
Description: Bacterial small subunit ribosomal RNA
Rfam family: Bacterial small subunit ribosomal RNA
Source: Rfam by way of RNAcentral
UGGACGGAGAGUUCGAUCCUGGCUCAGGAUGAACGCUGGCGGCGCGCCUAACACAUGCAAGUCGAACGGCACCCCUCCUCGGAGGGAAGCGAGUGGCGAACGGCUG